GUUGAACGCUGGCGGCAUGCCUAACACAUGCAAGUCGAGCGAUCACAUGAGGCACCUGCCUCUCUUACGUAAGAGGCGGUUGGGUGAGUAUAACGUCGAUAACAUACAUCUAAGACUGGGAUAAAUUCCGGGAACCGGUACCAAAAACGGCAAAUAUACUGAACAGCAAGGUUCUGUAGUGUAAGGCGCUUUUGCUAUCACUUUUAGAUGGUUCCACUCCGCAUUAGGUAGUAGGUGAGGUAACGGCUUACCAAGGCAACGACGCAUAUCCGACCUGAGAGGAUGAUCGGCCACACUGGAACUGAGACACGGUCCAGACUCCUACGGGAGGCAGCAGUAGGGAAUAUUGCACAAUGGGCGAAAGCUUGAUGGAGCAACGCCGCGUGGAUGAAGAAGGACUUCGGAUCGUAAAACUCUGUUAGUAGGGAGGAAGGAAUGUAUGAGAAUCUAUUCACGCAUUGACGUUACCUAAACAGGAAGCCACGGCUAACUACGUG
This 497-nucleotide ribosomal RNA is filed under the name uncultured bacterium. RNAcentral describes it as "partial 16S ribosomal RNA". It matches the Rfam family "Bacterial small subunit ribosomal RNA", at positions 28 to 507 of the family's 1533-position model. The record is from RNAcentral.